GGAGGUGGCGGGCCCCGCGCGGGCCGCUGGGACCCCCGCUCGCUCGGGCUUGCUAGGACGCACCCCCCUCGCAGGUCGCUUUAAUUACAUUUGUUCCUGUCCUUCGUGAGGGCGAGACUUCGGCACAGCCCGCUGAGGACUGGGGGGGUAGGAGCAUCCUUCGACCCCAGGAUGCGAGGAAGAAGGAACCUGUCCCUGAGCUGCGCGACCCCAAAGCCGCUGUUUUCUCCGACCUCAACUGUGCUGUGGAACCACCAGGGGGCGGCGCGACCCUGUUGGUCGCCAAGAGGAUCUCUGCGAGUCCUCGCCCAGGCUGUGACUUGUCGCCUCCAACGCCUGGUCUCCGCGUGGCGGGUGUCCUCUGUUACGCUUGGAGCCUUCCCUUCCUGGACUGAGAAAAGAAAAUACAGCCCAACAUCCCUGCCAGCAAACUGUACCAUCCAGAAAAAGAAGAACCUAAUGUAGUAGCACAUCGGUGA
This is a long non-coding RNA of Peromyscus eremicus (cactus mouse), 479 nucleotides long. RefSeq lists it as uncharacterized. The transcript is spliced from 3 exons. Lineage: Eukaryota; Metazoa; Chordata; Mammalia; Rodentia; Cricetidae. The record is from RefSeq and is a predicted model, not a curated record.